AUGGCAAAGCAGCUCAGGGACCUGAAGGCUGACCCACGGCUGCAGGUAGCAGGGGUCCAGUGGGUGGCAGGAGGAGCCAUCUGUCCCCCAAAGCUGGAACACAGUCCCGGUGUUCCCUGCACUGGACCUCCCCACCUCCACCCCACAGCCCACCCUCCAAAGCCAGCAGUUAGCCUGGCACAUACAGGUGACAGUCCUGAGGCCAGCAUUGACCGCUGUCCUGUCCCCACAGCCUCCAUCCACGGCCCAUCCGUCUACCCCUUGCGUUCCUGUUGCAAAAGUGCUACCAAUGCCACCUCUGUGACGCUGGGCUGCCUGGUCACGGGCUACUUCCCGGGCCCAGUGACCAUGACCUGGGACACAGCAUCCCUGAACAAGAGCACGUUGACCUUCCCUGCCAUCCAAAACUUGAACUCCAGCCUCUACACCACCAGCAGCCAGGUGACAGUCUCGGGCGAGUGGUCCAAGCAGAAGUUCGCCUGCAGCGUGGCCCACGCUGCGUCCAGCACCACCACCACCAAGGCCGUCGCUGGGUGCACCAAGAGCUUCACCGACCCCACCGUGAAGCUCUUUUACUCCUCCUGCGACCCCCGUGGCGACACCCAUACCACCAUCCAGCUCCUGUGCUUCAUCUCCGGCUACACCCCAGGCAAAAUCAAGGUCACCUGGUUGGUGGAUGGGCGUGAGGCCACAGACGUGUUCCCACACACCGGCCCCGAAAGGGUGGAGGGCAAACUGGCCUCCACCUACAGCGAGCUCAACAUCACGCAGGGCCAGUGGGUGUCCCAACUCACCUACACCUGCCGGGUCACCUAUUAUGGCUCCACCUACGACAACCACGCCCGCAGGUGCACAGCCGAGUCCGAGCCCCGUGGCGUGAGCGCCUACCUGAGCCCACCCACGCCCCUCGACCUGUACAUCAACAAGUCACCCAAGAUCACCUGCCUGGUGGUGGACCUGGCCAGCAAAAAGGACAUUACACUGACCUGGUCCAGGGAGAACAAGGAUAUAGUGUAUCCAGACCCGCUCGUCUUCAAGGAUGAGUUCAACGGGACGGUCACUGUCACGUCCACCCUGCCGGUGAACGUCAGUGACUGGCUCAAGGGCGAGACCUACUACUGCAAAGUGACCCACCCACACCUACCCAAGGAGAUCCUGCGCUCCAUCUCCAAGGGCUCUGGCAGGCGCAUGGUUCCCGAGGUCUACGUGUUCCCGCCACCCAAGGAGGAGCUCAAGACCAAGGGCGAGGUCACCCUCACCUGCCUGAUCCAGAACUUCUUCCCCGCGGACAUCUCCGUGCAGUGGCUGCAGAACGGCGCCCUGAUGCAGGCGGACCAGCACACCGUCACGAGGCCCCACAAGGUCCGCAGCCCCAUCCCCGACUUCUCCGCCUACUUCAUCUACAGCCACCUGGUGGUCAGGCGGGCCGACUGGGAGCAGAAGAGCGAAUUCACCUGCCAAGUGGCGCACGAGGCGCUGCCCGGCUCAAGGACGCUCAAGAGAUCGAUGUCCAUCAACCUUGGUAAAUGAUGCCUGGCCUCCCCCCUCUCCUCAUCCCAGGGCUCCAUCCUGCUGGGGUGGGGGAGGGGGCCAGCCAGACCUUCCGUCCAUUGUCAAUAAACACUCCAGUGCCUGCUCAGAG
Non-coding RNA from Delphinapterus leucas (beluga whale), 1642 nucleotides. The record is from the annotation of a RefSeq genome assembly. Lineage: Eukaryota; Metazoa; Chordata; Mammalia; Artiodactyla; Monodontidae.